This is a regulatory RNA element of Actinophytocola xinjiangensis, 110 nucleotides long. It matches the Rfam family "TPP riboswitch aptamer (THI element)". From Rfam's summary of the family: Vitamin B(1) in its active form thiamin pyrophosphate (TPP) is an essential coenzyme that is synthesised by coupling of pyrimidine and thiazole moieties in bacteria. NCBI's taxonomy places the organism in Bacteria, Bacillati, Actinomycetota, Actinomycetes, Pseudonocardiales, Pseudonocardiaceae. The record is from Rfam.
GGUGGUCCGCACGGGAGUCCGGAGGUACCGGGCUGAGAGGGGAUCCGCCGAUCCCGACCGUCGAACCUGAUCCGGAUCAUGCCGGCGCAGGGAGCGUGUUGUGCCUGAAA